UUUUUCUUGCAUUUGCGGAUGUGUGGGUGAUUCGAUGCUUUCAGCAAUAUAGUGUAGGUUUCACCUAACGCUUCACGGGCUGUUCGUGAGAAGGUGAUUAUGAAAAAUGAAAAGUGAAAGACAAAAAUCAAGAUUUUUAUUCGUGUCUCAGUUAAAAACAUUUUUAUCUUUGGUUUGCAAAGGAAUGUCAUUGUUGCAAUGACAGGUGGUUAAGAGAUUAACAUUCCCUGCACAUCACCACCUGUCAUGAAUUACCACAGUGCCAUGAGACACUUCCUCAUACCAAAUCAUUCAGUGAAUAGAAAGCAGAUAAAAUGUGUGUGAGUCAAAGUGAGGCUGUGUUUGGAGGUGUUUGCGCAGAGAGAUGAACACAUUUACCAUGUCUCUCUCUUUGCUACUGCUGCUGCUGGUUUGCAGCACGCAAGCUACUCAUUUUUAUGGGACAGUGAUGACCUAUUACCCAGGAGACACUUAUGCAGAUGGAUCAGUUAUGGCGAAUAUUCAAUACAAGCUGAACUUCCACGACUGCACAAAUGGUGACACAUGGAGUUGCCUCCGUGGUGACUGUUUGCUCUGGGAACAACACACUACAUGAGGUAAAACAGGAAAGCAGUGGAGAGUGGUGUCAGAGAGAGGGAAUCAUGACUCGACGGGCUCCCAGCAAUGCUCCGUUCGAGCUUUGGUUGGAUAGUGGUAACUGGAUUAAUGGCAUUGUAAAUGGCAUUGUAUCAUGGAGAGCUGUGACUCUAGUGGAACUGAGGAACAGAUCUGACACCGGCAAAGCCAACUCGUCACCCCAGACCACCAUCAUACCUGCUGUAAGAGUUCCCUCAAACUGUCAGAGAAAUUUCGUCUUGUUGGCGUUCGACCCUGAUGGAGAUGUGGUUAAGUGCAGAAAUGGAGAUGCAUUACUGUCAGAGUGUAAUCCAUGCACUCCACCAUCUGUCCUCAGCCUUUCACCAUCUUGUACUCUGUCCUUCCGCCCCACUGAUAGCAGUAAUGAAGGUCCAUAUGCAGUACAGCUGGUGAUGGAGGACUUUCCCCUGCAUAACAUAACCCUGACUCAAACCAAUGGGACACAGACUAAUCUAACUACCAAUAAUGCAAUCAGCAAAAUACCGGUCCAGUUUGUUAUAAGGGUGGAUCCUGCAGUGCCAUCCUGCACAGACGGACUAUAUCUGCCCAAGUUCCUGCCUCCAACUCCAGCCAACGGAGCUCAGCUAUAUACCCCUGUUGGACAAACUCUAGAAAUCAGCAUCAAAGCAGAGGCAACAAAUACCAUGAUCUCUGAGCUGCUCUACAGUGGGCCCUACACUAUAUUUCAAAAUAAAACAGGACCAGAAGAGUUCAUCCUCAUGUGGACGCCAUCUGAGAGCGAAGCGGGAGAAAGCCACCCCAUCUGUUUUGUUGUCCAGGCAGUUUCUGGAUGCAUUCAUAAACUUUAAUGCUGGAAAGCCUGACUGUGCCUUAAUGUGCCACGUUUGUAAGGACGUAAGUAAGUCAAGUAUGUGAAUUACACCCAUGUUUAUGGAAAAAAAACCCACUAACGGGAAUCAGUGGACAUAGACAAUAACAGUGGUACUGAGUUCUCAGUUCUUCAGUUCCUAGCAACAUAAUUAAAUAAAUAAACCAAAACAAUAAAUAAAUAAAAUACAUUUUAAACAGGAAAACAAAAGAAAGACCUAGCAAAAAAAAGUAGAUGUGCAUAAUUCCAGUUUAGUACUAUAAAACAGAGAAAGCCUCACUUACAUCCAUAAAUAAAAUACUGUGUUGCGUGCUUGCAAGGUUGUGUGAUCACAUGUACACUUUAUAUGCUGCUUUAAACAGGAAUUUUAAAAUAUAUAAAACAUAUUUUUACCACAUAAAACUAAUGGGGCUGAUUUACUUUUUACAGUAUAGCGAAGUAUCACUCUGACUUUCGAUGCGUCAUUGUGACUGUUGAAGAGGUUUAUGUCGCUGCCCUGAGUGCGAGGAUCUCUUUCUCAUUGCCUUUUACUGCAGACAACGUUAACAGUGUCAUCAUACAGAAGAUUAAAGAAGAACUGGAGAAACGAGGUCUGCCGCCAGAUGCGAGUCUACGCCUAGUGAGAGGAGACCAAGUAUAAAAAAACAACCACAGCGCCCUCUCACUGCACAUGAGUGCACAGCUCAAUAGCCUGAGAGUGUUUCUCCUGGGUGUUAUAAUGUGACACUUCUCAGGGUGAUUAUGUUUAUUAUCUGCACUCUGUUCAGAAAAAUAAAUACCAGAUUAUGAGCAUAUCUGGCAUUUGAGUCUGUAACUUUGUUUUAAUAACAGAUGUAAACUGAUCAGACUUGUACCUGAAAUGUUUUUCUCCGGUUUUUAAAAUGUAAUUUUUUAAAGAAUAUUUUUUAUUGUAUCGCAUUGGUUUCAGCUGAUUAUGUGUUGCAUGUGUAUAUCUGGUGGAUUUCAUAUAUAAGUAACUGCACUUUGCAGCAUCUUUCUCUAAUUUCUUUAAUCACCGUGAGGCUCUCUUCUGCAUCUGAAAUGAAUUAAACUGGGCCUUGAGGAUUCAGUGUUACAAUAACUGAUGUUAAGAUGCUCACAGUGAAUUCUGAGUAAAUAUCCAUCAUUACGAGUUAUCCAGUUCAGGGUUGUGUGAGAGCUGGAGAACAAUCUGUCAGUGAAUAAGAGGCAGAGUAAACCCUGGAUUGGUAGCCGCUCCAUCACACAAAAAGACACACCUAUAGCUAACUUGGAAUCACCAAUAAACCGAGCAUGUGCGUUUAUGGACUGUGGGAGGAAGCCUGAGUACAUGAACUCGAGGCAGGCACAGGGAGAGUAUGCCUAACUCAACAUAGGAGCUGACUCUAUCUCUGUGGAGCACUGCAAAAGAACUUCUGGUGGAGGUGUUGAAGAAGUUGCUGUUCUUUAGCUGUAUUAAGUAUUUAAUAAUGAGGCAUUUAAAACAUUUAGUUAGACAAUUAAACAUCUGCAAAGAAUUCAAAAUGACUAAAAGAAAUAUGAACAUAAAUAAACACAAAAGACAAAGUGAAGAAAGUGUCGUGGUCCCAGGUCAUGUGACCCAGUGUUUUGUGUUGUUGUAUUUUUAUGUCAUUUUGUCUUAUAGUUUAUGGCUAAGUUCAUUUGGUUUGUCUUGAGUUCGUUCCUACAUUGCCUAAAUUGUUCUGUUUAGUUCAUUGAUUAUUUAGUAAUUUCCCCUUGUGUCUUUGCCUUCUGUGUGUCUUUGUUUAAAUCGGUUGUGUGAGUUCUUGUGACUUGUUCCUCUCCUCGUGUUUCAUCCAUUUUUUCAGAGUCUCUCUCUGUCCCCCUCAUGUUCCUUUGUGUUCCCUUGCUCCCUCUCCUCUGCCUUUCCUCUAUUCGUGUGUCAUGUUCCUCAGUUUCCUAUACUGUGAAAGUCCGGUGUUUCCAUGUUUGGUAUGCUUCCCCUGUGACAUCAUGUUUAUUCGUGUCAGUGUGUUCCCCGUGUGUUCUCACUUCCUCAUUAUCCUUCUGUGUUUUUAUGUCAGCUUCUCCCUUGGUCCUGUGUUGCGAUCUCCCUUAUUUUUGUGCGUUUCCCUGUGUGCCUCUUUGUGUCCUUUGUUCAUAUACAUUUCCAGUUUAGUUUGUAUUUCCUUUGGUCUGGCAAUAAAGCUCUGUUUGAGUUACUUUUGCCUCCGUGAGUCUGCAUUUGGGACCUUUCCCGCCUGCUGCACAGCCAAAUUCAUGACACAAAGACCAAAAACACUACAAACGUUGCACACUUCAACACAAAGAAACUUCCAGGUGCACAUAGGUUUAUAAUCCCUCAGCAC
This is an RNA transcript of Haplochromis burtoni (Burton's mouthbrooder), 3774 nucleotides long. RefSeq lists it as uncharacterized. Lineage: Eukaryota; Metazoa; Chordata; Actinopteri; Cichliformes; Cichlidae. The transcript has 10 exons. The record is from RefSeq and is a predicted model, not a curated record.